This 253-nucleotide ribosomal RNA is filed under the name uncultured bacterium. RNAcentral's name for it is "partial 16S ribosomal RNA". It matches the Rfam family "Bacterial small subunit ribosomal RNA", at positions 524 to 776 of the family's 1533-position model. The record is from RNAcentral.
GACAGAGGUGGCAAGCGUUGUUCGGAUUCAUUGGGUGUAAAGGGUCCGUAGGUGGCCCAGCAAGUUUGACGUGAAAUCCCAGAGCUCAACUCUGGAACUGCGUUGAAAACUACUGGGCUUGAGUGUCGGAGAGGUAAGGGGAAUUCCAGGUGUAAGGGUGAAAUCUGUAGAUAUCUGGAGGAACACCAGUGGCGAAGGCGCCUUACUGGCCGACAACUGACACUGAGGGACGAAAGCAAGGGGAGCAAACAGG